UGGGGAAUUUUGGACAAUGGGCGAAAGCCUGAUCCAGCAAUGCCGCGUGUGUGAAGAAGGCCUUCGGGUUGUAAAGCACUUUUGUCCGGAAAGAAAUCCUUGGCUCUAAUACAGUCGGGGGAUGACGGUACCGGAAGAAUAAGCACCGGCUAACUACGUGCCAGCAGCCGCGGUAAUACGUAGGGUGCAAGCGUUAAUCGGAANUUACUGGGCGUAAAGCGUGCGCAGGCGGUUUGCUAAGACCGGAUGUGAAAUCCCCGGGCUCAACCUGGGGAACUGCAUUGGUGACUGGCAGGCUAGAGUAUGGCAGAGGGGGGUAAAUUCCACGUGUAGCAGUGAAAUGCGUGGAGAUGUGGAGGAAUACCGAUGGCGAAGGCAGCCCCCUGGGCCAAUANUGACGCUCAUGCACGAAAGCGUGGGGAGCAAACAGGAUUAGAUACCC
This 442-nucleotide ribosomal RNA is filed under the name uncultured bacterium. Its description in RNAcentral is "partial 16S ribosomal RNA". It matches the Rfam family "Bacterial small subunit ribosomal RNA", at positions 355 to 787 of the family's 1533-position model. The record is from RNAcentral.